AGUGAACGCUGGCGGUAGGCCUAACACAUGCAAGUCGAACGGCAGCACAGUAAGAGCUUGCUCUUACGGGUGGCGAGUGGCGGACGGGUGAGGAAUACAUCGGAAUCUACUUUUUCGUGGGGGAUAACGUAGGGAAACUUACGCUAAUACCGCAUACGACCUACGGGUGAAAGCAGGGGAUCUUCGGACCUUGCGCGAUUGAAUGAGCCGAUGUCGGAUUAGCUAGUUGGCGGGGUAAAGGCCCACCAAGGCGACGAUCCGUAGCUGGUCUGAGAGGAUGAUCAGCCACACUGGAACUGAGACACGGUCCAGACUCCUACGGGAGGCAGCAGUGGGGAAUAUUGGACAAUGGGCGAAAGCCUGAUCCAGCCAUACCGCGUGGGUAAAGAAGGCCUUCGGGUUGUAAAGCCCUUUUGUUGGGAAAGAAAAGCAGCAGGUUAAUACCCCGCUGUUCUGACGGUACCCAAAGAAUAAGCACCGGCUAACUUCGUG
Molecule: ribosomal RNA, 492 nt
Filed under: uncultured bacterium
Lineage: Bacteria
Description: partial 16S ribosomal RNA
Rfam family: Bacterial small subunit ribosomal RNA
Source: RNAcentral